This 568-nucleotide long non-coding RNA is filed under the name Lynx pardinus (Iberian lynx). Lineage: Eukaryota; Metazoa; Chordata; Mammalia; Carnivora; Felidae. The record is from RNAcentral.
UGCUUUUAGUUCAGAUUUCUGGCUACCCAGACAGGUUUUGUUGCCUCAAUUUGUCUGAAUUAUCAAGAAAUGUUGAAAAUUUCCUGGGAAGAUGCUUCUGGAAAGGUCAGAAACACUUUGGUUAUCCUUACCCCUUUGCUCAGUAGCAAGUUUUUUUUUGCACAUUCGUUGACUAUCAACUGGCUGUUGUCUACAACUCAAACUACAUAAUGAAUCCAGCGCAUAAAUUAUUUACUGAGAUUUAAUUCCAGGGACUGUUAUCUGUGUAUUUUUUUCUUUGCCAGCUAAUCUGGUUCACUGCAUUGGAAUUUUGGUCAUGCCCGGUUCUCCUUCUGCACUAAAUUAUCUCUAUAACGUAGGAUAAACAGAACAAGCCUGUGUGUGAUAUGCUUAACUGUUAAUUUACCUAAUUAAACUAAUUCAAUUAAAUCAUUUACAUCUUUUUGGUAUCACGCCAGUUGAUACCACUGCAGAAGUGAGAUGUUUUAGAAGAUUAUUGUUCAGCAAAUGAAUGGGGGAAAAUAAUAGAACACAAAAUGAAAGAGAAGUCCAAACCUCUUGGCUUGAA